RNAcentral lists this transfer RNA (73 nucleotides) under Capra hircus (goat). It matches the Rfam family "tRNA". From Rfam's summary of the family: Transfer RNA (tRNA) molecules are approximately 80 nucleotides in length. Their secondary structure includes four short double-helical elements and three loops (D, anti-codon, and T loops). Lineage: Eukaryota; Metazoa; Chordata; Mammalia; Artiodactyla; Bovidae. RNAcentral also lists the same sequence under 1 other name. The record is from Rfam by way of RNAcentral.
UCCCUGGUGGUCCAGUGGCUAAGGCUCUGGGCUCCCAGUGAAGGGGGCCCAGGUUCAAUCCCUGGUCAGGGAA